CAAAGGCUUGGUCCUGACUUUACUAUCGGCUUUAGCUGAACUUACACAUGCAAGUAUCCGCACCCCCGUGAGAAUGCCCUACGGUUCCCCUACCGGGAACAGGGAGCUGGUAUCAGGCACAGACCCACUGGCCCACGACACCUUGCUUAGCCACACCCCCAAGGGUACUCAGCAGUGAUAGACAUUAAGCCAUGAGUGAAAACUUGACUCAGUUAAGGCUAAGAGGGCCGGUAAAACUCGUGCCAGCCACCGCGGUUAUACGAGAGGCCCAAGUUGAUAGACAUCGGCGUAAAGCGUGGUUAAGAGUACACUUACUAAAGCCGAAUACCCCCCCCAGCUGUUAUACGCCAGCGGGGUCUUAGAAGCACAAUAACGAAAGUAGCUUUAUGAUACCUGAACCCACGAAAGCUAAGGCACAAACUGGGAUUAGAUACCCCACUAUGCUUAGCCCUAAACAUUGACAACUAGAUACACCAGUUGUCCGCCCGGGAACUACGAGCGCUAGCUUAAAACCCAAAGGACUUGGCGGUGCUUUAGAUCCACCUAGAGGAGCCUGUUCUAGAACCGAUAAUCCCCGUUCAACCUCACCCCCUCUUGCUCUAUCCGCCUAUAUACCGCCGUCGCAAGCUUACCCUUUGAAGGAAUAAUAGUAAGCAAAAUUGGCAAUGCCCAGAACGUCAGGUCGAGGUGUAGCGAAUGAGGGGGGAAGAAAUGGGCUACAUUCCCUAAUCUUAAGGAAUCACGGAUAAUAACGCUGAAACGCGUAUUUGAAGGAGGAUUUAGUAGUAAGCAUGAAAAUAGAGUGUUCCGCUGAAAUCGGCCCUGAAGCGCGCACACACCGCCCGUCACUCUCCCCGAAAAUUGGAAAUUGCCCUAAUUAAAAAGAGACAACUAUAGAGGGGAGGCAAGUCGUAACAUGGUAAGUGCACCGGAAGGUGUACUUGGACAAACCAGA
This 955-nucleotide non-coding RNA is filed under the name Sillago panhwari. RNAcentral's name for it is "12S ribosomal RNA". It matches the Rfam family "Bacterial small subunit ribosomal RNA". The record is from RNAcentral. Lineage: Eukaryota; Metazoa; Chordata; Actinopteri; Sillaginidae.